RNAcentral lists this ribosomal RNA (429 nucleotides) under Gemmatimonadota bacterium. Its description in RNAcentral is "Gemmatimonadetes bacterium partial 16S ribosomal RNA". It matches the Rfam family "Bacterial small subunit ribosomal RNA", at positions 355 to 776 of the family's 1533-position model. Lineage: Bacteria; Pseudomonadati; Gemmatimonadota. The record is from RNAcentral.
UAGGGAAUCUUCGGCAAUGGACGAAAGCCUGACCGAGCAACGCCGCGUGAGUGAAGAAGGUUUUCUGAUCUUAAAACUCUGUUGUUAGGGAAGAACAAGGACGUUAGUAACUGAACGUCACCUGCCGGUAUCUAACCAGAAAGCCACGGCUAACUACGUGCCAGCAGCCGCGGUAAUACGUAGAUGGCAAGCGUUGUCCGGAUUUAUUGGGCGUAAAGCGAGCGCAGGCGGUUUCUUAAGUCUGAUGUGAAAGCCCCCGGCUCAACCGGGGAGGGUCAAUGGAAACUGGGGGACUUGAGUGCAGAAGAGGAGAGUGGAAUUCCAUGUGUAGCGGUGAAAUGCGUAGAUAUAUGGAGGAACACCAGUGGCGAAGGCGGCUCUCUGGUCUGUAACUGACGCUGAGGCUCGAAAGCGUGGGGAGCAAACAGG